CCUCUACUAACAACAAAACUUAGUCAAGUCAAUGGAAUAUUUAAUCUCUCUAGAUCAAGAAGAUGGAGCUCCCUUACGCCAUCACCCAAAUCUGCAACUCAGGAAAGCAAUUGAGUGGUCAUUUCCACUCCAGUCAAUGUGCUAGGAUUGUUUAGUGAUGGAAGAAAAUGUCAAAGAUGGCAUGGAUGAAGAACUUCGCGCAGACUCUCAAAGAUGGCAUGGAAAGCAAUUGAUUUGUUGAACUGUUGUUCUACAUGAUUCUCACAUGCAAUCCUUGACAGUUAUUCACUGUUACUCGGUCUGGUUGGAUUUCAAGAGGGUUUUCAGCAGAUUUUGUGCAUGUUCAUGAUGCGAGUAAUCAAUGGGUAGGGUACACACACACUCACAUGGUUUCUUACAGAAACUGUCCAUAUAUAAAUCACAUCCCUUUCCUUU
Molecule: long non-coding RNA, 435 nt
Organism: Populus nigra (black poplar)
Lineage: Eukaryota; Viridiplantae; Streptophyta; Magnoliopsida; Malpighiales; Salicaceae
Exons: 2
Source: RefSeq, a predicted model, not a curated record